This 253-nucleotide ribosomal RNA is filed under the name uncultured bacterium. Its description in RNAcentral is "partial 16S ribosomal RNA". It matches the Rfam family "Bacterial small subunit ribosomal RNA", at positions 524 to 776 of the family's 1533-position model. The record is from RNAcentral.
UACGUAGGGGGCUAGCGUUGUCCGGAUUUAUUGGGCGUAAAGAGCGUGUAGGCGGCCAGGUAGGUCUGGUGUGAAAACUCGAGGCUUAACCUUGAGAUGUCAUCGGAAACCAUUUGGCUAGAGUCCGGAAGAGGAAAGUGGAACUCCUGGUGUAGCGGUGAAAUGCGCAGAUAUCAGGAAGAACACCCGUGGCUAAGGCGGCUCUCUAGUACGGUACUGACGCUGAGACGCGAAAGCGUGGGGAGCGAACAGG